This 496-nucleotide ribosomal RNA is filed under the name uncultured bacterium. RNAcentral describes it as "partial 16S ribosomal RNA". It matches the Rfam family "Bacterial small subunit ribosomal RNA", at positions 28 to 507 of the family's 1533-position model. The record is from RNAcentral.
GAUGAACGCUGGCGGCGUGCCUAAUACAUGCAAGUCGAGCGAACAGACGAGGAGCUUGCUCUCUGACGUUAGCGGCGGACGGGUGAGUAACACGUGGAUAACCUACCUAUAAGACUGGGAUAACUUCGGGAAACCGGAGCUAAUACCGGAUAAUAUAUUGAACCGCAUGGUUCAAUAGUGAAAGACGGUUUUGCUGUCACUUAUAGCUGGAUCCGCGCCGCAUUAACUAGUUGGUAAGGUAACGGCUUACCAAGGCAACGAUGCGUAGCCGACCUGAGAGGGUGAUCGGCCACACUGGAACUGAGACACGGUCCAGACUCCUACGGGAGGCAGCAGUAGGGAAUCUUCCGCAAUGGGCGAAAGCCUGACGGAGCAACGCCGCGUGAGUGAUGAAGGUCUUCGGAUCGUAAAACUCUGUUAUUAGGGAAGAACAAAUGUGUAAGUAACUAUGCACGUCUUGACGGUACCUAAUCAGAAAGCCACGGCUAACUACGUG